Molecule: ribosomal RNA, 322 nt
Filed under: uncultured eukaryote
Lineage: Eukaryota
Description: partial 18S ribosomal RNA
Rfam family: Eukaryotic small subunit ribosomal RNA
Source: RNAcentral
CCCUUAGAUGUUCUGGGCCGCACGCGUGCUACACUGAGUAAUUCAAUGGGUAAGGGAACGCUAGAGCAUUACCUAAUCUUGAAAUUUGCUCGUGAUGGGGAUCGACGGUUGCAAUUUUCCGUCGUGAACGAGGAAUACCUUGUAGGCGCAUGUCAUCAUCAUGCGCCGAAUACGUCCCUGCCCUUUGUACACACCGCCCGUCGCUCCUACCGAUUGAGUGAUCCGGUGAGGCUCUGGGACCUGGACGGAAAGAGCGUUUCGCCUGUUCUGUUUGGGAAACUUGGUCGAACCUUAUCAUUUAGAGGAAGGAGAAGUCGUAACA